This 307-nucleotide long non-coding RNA is filed under the name Mustela putorius furo (domestic ferret). Its description in RNAcentral is "lncRNA (ENSMPUG00000030414.1)". Lineage: Eukaryota; Metazoa; Chordata; Mammalia; Carnivora; Mustelidae. The record is from RNAcentral.
AUGUACGCAGCACUUAGAAUAUCUGGAAGCAAGUUGAACCCCUAUUUCUGGGCUCCUUCCCUGGUCUAUGCUCAUGGUCAGCUUUUGGCUUCAGCCCACGUCCUGGGUUUUCUACUCUGGCACGAGUCCCGCUCUUCCCAAACAUGCCUUCCUGCUCUUCUCCCACUGGACACAGCCGAUCUGACAGACACGGACUCCCAUGGGUGAUUCCUGCUCUCAGCCUCUCUCCUGACUUCCGGCCUGAAGAAGCCUGAAGGCAGAACGUUAUGCGCAUGUCUGUAAUACCUGCUGGUUCUAUGGGUGAUCC